Molecule: long non-coding RNA, 2378 nt
Organism: Strongylocentrotus purpuratus (purple sea urchin)
Lineage: Eukaryota; Metazoa; Echinodermata; Echinoidea; Camarodonta; Strongylocentrotidae
Exons: 2
Source: RefSeq, a predicted model, not a curated record
UCAACUCCUCCAAAGACACCCAUCACCCGACAGAAAUCUAAAGGUAGGUCACAAGAGAUGAACACCCGUCAAGAAUGUUCAUCUGAGCCUCCUGGGAGUGAUGACUAUGAUGAUAAUCCCUUAUUUGUCCCAAUUAGCUCUGAUAAUGGAGAAGAUACUACGGUAAACGAUUCCGACCCCAUUAUAGGAAAUGCCCCUUCUAACUCCAGUACACGAGUAGUGGCAUCGGAAGAACCCGAAGUGCGUCAGUUAGAUAAUAACCCUUCUGAAUAUAUUUCACAAGUUAGUGGGGAUGAUAACAUGGUUAGCAAAACUGAGGAGAUUAUGUCUGAGGAAACGGGUACAGUAAUCAGGAAUGAGGAAGAUAAAUUUGUUGAGGAUAAUGAUCCGAUCAGAAAGGAAACCAAAACUCUAAAGUCACCUGAGAAAGAUAAAGGUGAGCAUGAGGGUAUAGCAGUAGAUGAAAACGCACCCUCAUUGAGUGAACCACAAGUGAGAAGAUCAGCCAGGAAUAACAAAGGUGUAGGUCCCAAUAAACUUGUCUAUCACCAUCCUGGUGAACCGCUUAAUGCAGAUUUUAAGCUUGUCCUUGUCCAGCAAAUGCGAGCAUUUAUGGAAAACCUGUUAUGAAUAUAGAAACAAGUAACUAUCUUUGUAUGAAUAGUGCUCUUGUACGUGUGUUUGAUUGUGAUAUGAUUUUACACUGUGAUGUAUUUGAUGUACAUCCUAUGGUUGAGUCAUAAUAACCGUGGAUAUAGUAGGGUUAUUUUUGUUACAUAAUUUACAUAUUUGUACUUAGAUAACCUUCAUUUUGCAAGUUUUUGUUGUUGUUCAGAACUUAAGUUAAUGGAAGUAUUAACUUAGUAUGUGUAAUGAAUUGGCAUAACUUAACUAAGUUAGUAAGUUAGGCAUGAGGGUUCUCAGAGGAGCUGAGUGGUAGGACUCCAUCUGCUCGCAUCAUGGAUGAGACCAGGACCACUGUCAGAGUUCUACCAUCGGGGAAGCUAUUCUUCGCCAGAUAUCAGCACUCGGAACAAGAUGACACCAGUAGAGAGACAUUUUCGCAUAGUCGCUGAGAUAAAAUGCAUCGUUGGAACUUGGACGUCAGUCAUAAUAUAAUGGGUGAUACAGAGACGCAUAUCAAUACUUACAUUAAUGAACUGCAACAUUAACUAGUGUCUGAUUAUACACACUGUGACUGUAAGUCAGGGACAAUAGUCCUGAGCCCAUGUACAUUGAUUUGAAUGAUUCAAGACGGUCCUACUUUCAUGGAUCAGGACCUUAUAUGCAUCAAACAGCAGAGACUGCGUCAUAUGCAUCAGAGAAGAUGACAUACAACAGACUCUUCGGCAACAAUGGGAUUCUGGGAAUCUCAAUUCUUCAGUUGCAACUGGCUGUCAUACUCGGACCCUAGCUUCAAAGCAAAAUAGUAUUUAAUUGUUUUGCUCAUGUCCUUUGUAUAAAGGACCCGUGGAGAUAUAUUGUUUCAUACUUUGGUUGAAUGUUCUGUGGAGCAUAUGAAAAUCAUUAUGUGCAUAUAUUGUCUAUGAUCGUUUUUAUUUUUCCUCGUGGCGGGAUAUUUUUUUAAGGGGGGAAGAGUUGUAGCCCCUCUUUGGUGCCACAUAAGUAAAAAGGGAUUAACCCCUUUAAAGUAUGGCAUUAAUAGCUAUACCUACAGUAGUGAUCGAUAGGAGAGAUUUUGUUGUAACUUUGUGGCGAAAGCAAAUUGUUUAUAUUAGCCAAUAGUUCUUGUGAGUGAGUCUUGCCAGAGGUUCCACCUUUUAACCUAUAGGGCCUAUAGGGUGAAACUUCUCGGAACUUCUUGGACUGCUCCAUAUUAAUUGCUAUAGGGGUAGAAAGCUUUUGAGAUAAAAGUAUAUUUCAUAUUUGUAUGUUAUCUGUUAAUUCUAGUUGUUAUCACUUUGCAUGACUUUGCUUAGGAUAUAUAUUCAAUGUCUUAUAUUGCUGUAUAAAUGACUCACGGAUCAACAGCCACAACCAACUAUUACUAUUCAGACCCCUUUCCUAUAAUAAUGGUAUAUUCGAUAUACCAACAUCCAAGAUUUUCUUGAGGCAUCUUCCUUCUUUCACUAUUACGAAGAUGGAGAGGAAGCACCCUCGAAACAUCAGUCUUCAAUAACUUCUGUUUUUCCCUGCCCUUUCAGAUCAGGCUAAAGGUCGUCACCUCAUGACACCCCUGUCAACCUGAGACCCUCUGUAAUUUGUCAAACUUAGUUUUGUUUUAAGCCAUAGAGAUAAUAUCUCAACUUAUUGCCAUGAAGUUAAUGUAAUGUAACCAGGAGUUACAGAUUCUUGUAAAUAUAUUGUAAAUAUGCUUUGUAUUACUCAAUAAUAAAGGAACUUAUACAUUUCCUUUA